ACAAUUUAAAACCAAAAAUAUUUUAGGUCUGAGAAACUCCCAAGUGAAGAGGGGUGCUGCCAUUUACAUUCAUUUGGAUGGACAUAUGGUCUGGUUUGGUAUGAAGAUGCAUAUACUUACAUCAUUAAAAUCCCUCAAUGCCUAUAUAAAGUUAAAUUUUAUAAAACAGAUACAUAUUUAGUGUCCUCUCUAUGCAGACUUUAUAAUAAUGGAUGUCUCCAAAGAGAAACAGCAUUUUGAAGCAGUGUGAAUAAUAUGGACUUAGAAAUUUUUUUUCCUUUAAAAAUCAAACUUGAUUCCAAUUGGAUGAUUAUACUUCAAUGCAUUUCUGUGUGUUCAGAUGUGGCUAACAUCUUCCAGUGGAGUCAUAAGGGAAUACACACACCAGGACAACCAGAAGAGAAUGAAACCUUAAAAUACCACUUUCCUGGAGGAUGCAGGCUUAUGAGAGGAUUCCACCAUCUUGUCAGGACCUGUUCCUCACAGAAGAUCUACCCAAUUUUUGAGAAGCCUUCCUCCAUGUUUUCUUUUUUUUUUUCAUUUUUUUAAAACUUACCUUCCAUUUUUUAUUGAUUCCAAUGCACAAAAGUGGGCUGGCCCUGCCUUAUGGAAUGCUUCAUGGAUAUUUAGAUUUCUCUGAGUGGUCUUGAAGAUUUAUAAGCUCUUAUAGCCAUUUAAGUGGGUAUUACUGCCUUUCUGAAAGAGCUUGAUAUAGUUACUGUAAAAUUUCUGCCAGCAUUGCCAGCUGACCCUGUAACUUCUUGGAGACAAAGAGGCUCGGUUUAUGGAAGCUGUGCACCCCAGCUGUUCCCAUUUUCAUGAACGAGCUCAAGGUGCUUGACUAAGAAUCAAUAAAGUUAUAAACUCCAGACUGGAUUUUUGAAAG
Molecule: long non-coding RNA, 886 nt
Filed under: Monodelphis domestica (gray short-tailed opossum)
Lineage: Eukaryota; Metazoa; Chordata; Mammalia; Didelphimorphia; Didelphidae
Description: lncRNA (ENSMODG00000036901.1)
Source: RNAcentral